CCUACGGGAGGCAGCAGUGAGGAAUAUUGGUCAAUGGCCGGAAGGCUGAACCAGCCAUGCCGCGUGAAGGUCAGUGCCCUAUGGGCGUUAAACUUCUUUUGUGCGGGAGCAAUAAUGGUCACGUGUGGCCAGACGAGAGUACCGUACGAAUAAGCAUCGGCUAACUCCGUGCCAGCAGCCGCGGUAAUAUGGGGGAUGCAAGCGUUAUCCGGAUUUAUUGGGUUUAAAGGGUGCGUAGGCUGUGAGGUAAGUCAGCGGUGAAAUGCCCCCGCUCAACGGGGUGAAGUGCCAUUGAUACUGCCUGGCUGGAAUGCGGAUGCCGUGGGAGGAAUGUGUGGUGUAGCGGUGAAAUGCAUAGAUAUCACACAGAACACCGAUUGCGAAGGCAUCUCACGAAUCCGCGAUUGACGCUGAUGCACGAAAGCGUGGGUAUCAAACAGGAUUAGAUACCCGGGUAGUC
RNAcentral lists this ribosomal RNA (460 nucleotides) under uncultured bacterium. RNAcentral describes it as "partial 16S ribosomal RNA". It matches the Rfam family "Bacterial small subunit ribosomal RNA", at positions 338 to 795 of the family's 1533-position model. The record is from RNAcentral.